AAUUCACACUUUGGGAAGAGCUGAACUUAAGUACUUUGUCAAAAUGCAUGAUUCAAAGUUUUGUAGUGCUUUCUUGAAAUAUAUUCUAUCAUUAUUAUCAAAUACUCUGAAGCAGAACUCAAGUUGAUUUAUAUAAUUCCUUACACCAUAAGCUAUAAUGGAAGCAAAUAUUUUGAAUCCUCAUAUGAACCAAGAGUCAUAAGGGUUAAAUAACAACCUAUGAAGGGCAGAAAUAGAAUUUUUAUCCAGAUUUUUGACUAAGAAUGAUAUAUUUUUUACCACCAUACUGCAGCUUCUUUGUUCUGAUUUUAGGGCCAUAUUUCUUACAAUAUUUCUUUAAAUGGUUAUGAAAAAAAUGAGUACCAAGUACCAAAAUCAGCACCACAAGCCUACUGUAGGCUCAGGCU
Molecule: long non-coding RNA, 407 nt
Filed under: Bos taurus (domestic cattle)
Lineage: Eukaryota; Metazoa; Chordata; Mammalia; Artiodactyla; Bovidae
Description: long non-coding RNA NONBTAT018269
Source: RNAcentral